AAUGGGAGAAACUCAAAUCACACAUCAAGAAAAAAGUUUGUAAGACGCCAAGAUCACCAACUAGAAGGGUUUCUUCCAAAUCUCCCUCUAUUUGGAAAAUAGCCAAAAAAAGUAGGUUUUAACAAUAUUGUCAUUGGCAUGGACUUCUUUUAGACUUUAAAUUAGCGUACUACCAUUAUGUUAGUAAAAUUACCUGAUGUUGAAGUAUAAGACCAUUGUUGUUGAGAUGGGUUGUCAUUUUUGCUCACCCAAAUGAUCAAAGUCUUCGCACAAUCAGACUCUGAUAAGUGAUUGUUUUAUCUUAGAGCUAAAAUGAAAGCAUCCCCAAUUGUAAUUCAAGCAGCCAGUUGGUUAAUUCACAAGCCAAGUAAAAUUACUAUCACUUUUGCCAUCAUAGUAAAAUCUGCUUUGUCAUUUAAUUUGUUCUGUUUCCAAUAGCUUGACUGCUGAUGAAUAUGGUUGUUUCUGUUGCUUUGUAGAGCUUUGAAGAGGCUGGUGAAGUUACAUUAUAACCGAUGUCUACUGCGAGUGUCAAUGACAGCAGUCAAAGUGGGUUAAGGUUUGUGAAUGUUAGAUGCAAAUGUCCUGAACCCAAAAGGGCAUUGGUGCGAAUUUCAGAGUCUAGUUCGCACCCAAAUAUGUUGUACUACUGUUGCCCUGAAGCACCAAGAGGUUGUCGAUACUUCUCAUGGUGUGAACCUAUAGCUGCACCAAGACUUUUGUCAUCCCCUGCAACUAAUUUAGAAGCAGUUGUUGGUGAAAGAAUCCAAAGUCAACAGAUGAAAGAAGAUAUUCGUGGCUUGAAGAAAAGAAUUAAGUAUUUAGAGAAAGCGUAUAGAACGAUGAAAAUUGUAAUUGGUGUGCUUGUGGUGGUGUGUUUAGUGCUAUGUGUUAAAAAAUGACUUUACAAGCAUUAAUAUGAAGUUGUGUCAAGUAUGUAAGAAUCUGAACUAAAUGAAAUCGUUCAUUCUCACUGUUCUUA
Molecule: long non-coding RNA, 982 nt
Organism: Macadamia integrifolia
Lineage: Eukaryota; Viridiplantae; Streptophyta; Magnoliopsida; Proteales; Proteaceae
Exons: 2
Source: RefSeq, a predicted model, not a curated record